AGUCGAUGUGUUGGACAUUUUCUUAGCAAAUUUUUCCAUCUCUCCCACACUUCCCAUAACGAUUCACCAUUCAUUUGUCGGAAUGAUGUGAUGGCGUUUCUUAGAUU
Lactuca sativa (garden lettuce) is the source of this 107-nucleotide small nucleolar RNA. NCBI's taxonomy places the organism in Eukaryota, Viridiplantae, Streptophyta, Magnoliopsida, Asterales, Asteraceae. The record is from RefSeq and is a predicted model, not a curated record.